Molecule: ribosomal RNA, 109 nt
Filed under: Erinaceus europaeus (western European hedgehog)
Lineage: Eukaryota; Metazoa; Chordata; Mammalia; Eulipotyphla; Erinaceidae
Source: RNAcentral
GUCUAUGGUCAUAUCACCCUGAACACGCCUGAUCUCGUCUGAUCUCGGAAGCUAAGCAGGGUCAGGCCUGGUUAGUACUUGGAUGGGAGAGCAUGGGGAACCAUGGGAA